CCCCACCCAUCUAUUAAUAGCAGGGAGGACAUAGUGUGGGGACUCAUGGGUGGGGUCCGAGGAGGGAGAACAAUAGGUUCCCCCAUUGUAAUUUUGAGCACCUACCCACUGCACAAUGGUGGGGGACAGGGGGACGAUAGGUUCCCCAUAUCAUCUUAGGGCCCCCAAUCGCUGCUCAUGGGUGGGGGCCAGGGGGGAACAAUAGGUUCCCAUGCUUUAUUAAAUGACUCAGAACACUCUGAUUGGUUGGAUUCCAAGCCAACCAAUUAAAGUGUUGUUAUGAG
This is a non-coding RNA of Pelobates cultripes (western spadefoot toad), 284 nucleotides long. The record is from the annotation of a GenBank genome assembly. Lineage: Eukaryota; Metazoa; Chordata; Amphibia; Anura; Pelobatidae.